AACGAACGCUGGCGGCGUGGAUUAGGCAUGCAAGUCGAACGAGAAAGGGUUCGCAAGGACCCGAGUAAAGUGGCGAAAGGGUGAGUAGUACCUAGGUAACCUGCCCUGAAGCUGGGGAAAACGUUUCUAACGGAACGCUAAUACCCAAUGUGUCCGCGAGAUCGCAUGGUCAUGCGGGUAAACGGUAGCCUCUAUUAAUAAGCUUCCGCUUCAGGAGGGGCCUCGGACCUAUCAGAUAGUUGGCGGGGUAACGGCCCACCAAGUCUGGGACGGGUAGCCGGUCUGAGAGGAUGGUCGGCCACACUGGAACUGAGACACUGUCCAGACUCCUACGGGAGGCUGCAGUCGAGGAUCUUCUGCAAACGGUCGG
Molecule: ribosomal RNA, 370 nt
Filed under: uncultured bacterium
Lineage: Bacteria
Description: bacterial SSU rRNA
Rfam family: Bacterial small subunit ribosomal RNA
Source: RNAcentral